This 334-nucleotide ribosomal RNA is filed under the name uncultured eukaryote. RNAcentral's name for it is "partial 18S ribosomal RNA". It matches the Rfam family "Eukaryotic small subunit ribosomal RNA", at positions 1470 to 1796 of the family's 1831-position model. The record is from RNAcentral.
CCCUUAGAUGUCCGGGGCCGCACGCGCGCUACACUGAAGGAAUCAGCGUGGCUUUCUCCCUGACCCGAAAGGGUUGGGAAACCCGUUGAAUCUCCUUCGUGAUAGGGAUUGGGGCUUGAAAUUGUUCCCCAUGAACGAGGAAUUCCCAGUAAGCGCGAGUCAUAAGCUCGCGUUGAUUACGUCCCUGCCCUUUGUACACACCGCCCGUCGCUACUUCCGAUUGAACGGUUUAGUGAGGGCCUCGGAUUGGUCUCGGCCCGCUCUUUACCGGGCGGCGCCGUUGGUCGAGAAGACGCUCGAACUUGAUCGUUUAGAGGAAGUAAAAGUCGUAACA